AGCAGCCGCGGUAAUUCCAGCUCCAAUAGCGUAUAUUAAAGUUGUUGCAGUUAAAAAGCUCGUAGUUGAAUUUCGGGAUUGACACAUCGGUCGUGCCUUAAGGGGUAUGAACUGGUGUAGUCAAUUUCUCACCUUCUGGAGAACCGCGAUGCCCUUAAUUGGGUGUCGCGGGGAACCAGGACCUUUACUUUGAAAAAAUUAGAGUGUUUAAAGCAGGCAUUUUGCUUGAAUACAUUAGCAUGGAAUAAUAAAAUAGGACGGCAUGAUUCUAUUUUGUUGGUUUCUAGGAUCACCGUAAUGAUUAAUAGGGAUAGUUGGGGGCAUUAGUAUUCAAUUGUCAGAGGUGAAAUUCUUGGAUUUAUUGAAGACUAACUACUGCGAAAGCAUUUGCCAAGGAUGUUUUCAUUAAUCAAGAACGAAGUUAGGGAUCGAAGACGAUCAGAUACCGUGUAGUCUUAACCAUAAACCUAUGACCGACUAGGAAUCAGACGAUGUUAAUUUUUAUGUAACUCGUUGCUAC
Molecule: ribosomal RNA, 520 nt
Filed under: uncultured Entrophospora
Lineage: Eukaryota; Fungi; Glomeromycota; Glomeromycetes; Entrophosporales; Entrophosporaceae
Description: SSU rRNA
Rfam family: Eukaryotic small subunit ribosomal RNA
Source: RNAcentral